This 460-nucleotide ribosomal RNA is filed under the name uncultured bacterium. RNAcentral's name for it is "partial 16S ribosomal RNA". It matches the Rfam family "Bacterial small subunit ribosomal RNA", at positions 338 to 795 of the family's 1533-position model. The record is from RNAcentral.
CCUACGGGAGGCAGCAGUGAGGAAUAUUGGUCAAUGGGCGUAAGCCUGAACCAGCCAAGUCGCGUGAGGGAUGAAGGUUCUAUGGAUCGUAAACCUCUUUUAUAAGGGAAUAAAGAGUGGGACGUGUCCUGUUUUGUAUGUACCUUAUGAAUAAGGAUCGGCUAACUCCGUGCCAGCAGCCGCGGUAAUACGGAGGAUCCGAGCGUUAUCCGGAUUUAUUGGGUUUAAGGGGAGCGUAGGUGGAUUGUUAAGUCAGUUGUGAAAGUUUGCGGCUCAACAGUAAAAUUGCCGUUGAAACUGGCAGUCUUGAGUACGGUAGAGGUGGGCGGAAUUCGUGGUGUAGCGGUGAAAUGCUUAGAUAGCACGAAGAACUCCGAUGGCGAAGGCAGCACACUGGACUGCAACUGACACUGAGGCUCGAAAGUGUGGGUAUCAAACAGGAUUAGAUACCCUGGUAGUC